RNAcentral lists this small RNA (849 nucleotides) under uncultured Phaeosphaeria. Its description in RNAcentral is "eukaryotic LSU rRNA". The stretch from base 567 to 849 matches the Rfam family "Eukaryotic large subunit ribosomal RNA", at positions 1 to 281 of the family's 3401-position model. The record is from RNAcentral. Lineage: Eukaryota; Fungi; Ascomycota; Dothideomycetes; Pleosporales; Phaeosphaeriaceae.
CUUGGUCAUUUAGAGGAAGUAAAAGUCGUAACAAGGUUUCCGUAGGUGAACCUGCGGAAGGAUCAUUAAUUAUCGGUAGUUUACUACCGUUUGAAGGGGGUGGAAAGUUUCCAGGUCUUCCUGGGGGUGAGUACAUCCUAUUCUUAACCCUUGACUUUUUGCGCACUCAUGUUUCCUCGGCGGGCUUGCCUGCCGAAUGGACAAACCAAUAACCUAUUUAAUAUUUAAUCAGCGUCUGAAUUAUUUUAAUAAUUACAACUUUCAACAACGGAUCUCUUGGUUCUGGCAUCGAUGAAGAACGCAGCGAAAUGCGAUAAGUAGUGUGAAUUGCAGAAUUCAGUGAAUCAUCGAAUCUUUGAACGCACAUUGCGCCCCUUGGUAUUCCAUGGGGCAUGCCUGUUCGAGCGUCAUUUGUACUCUCAAGCCUUGCUUGGUGUUGGGUGUUUGUCUCUGCUCUGCUUAGACUCGCCUUAAAUAUAUUGGCAGCCGGUAUACUGGUUUGAAGCGCAGCACAUUUGCAAUUCAAGCCUGCUAUUAUUGGUAUCCACAAAGAAUAUCAACACUUUUGACCUCGGAUCAGGUAGGGAUACCCGCUGAACUUAAGCAUAUCAAUAAGCGGAGGAAAAGAAACCAACAGGGAUUGCCCUAGUAACGGCGAGUGAAGCGGCAACAGCUCAAAUUUGAAAUCUGGCUCUUUUAGGGUCCGAGUUGUAAUUUGCAGAGGGCGCUUUGGCGUUGGCAGCGGUCCAAGUUCUUUGGAACAGGACGUCACAGAGGGUGAGAAUCCCGUACGUGGUCGCUAUCCUUCGCCGUGUAAAGCCCCUUCGACGAGUCGAGUUGUUUGGGAAU